AUGAACGCUAGCGACAGGCCUAACACAUGCAAGUCGAGGGGCAGCACAAGGAGCAAUCUGAGGUGGCGACCGGCGCACGGGUGAGUAACACGUAUGCAACCUGCCUGUAAGCGGGGAAUAACCCGUUGAAAGACGGACUAAUACCGCAUAAUACUAAAUUACUGCAUGGUAAUUUAUUUAAACAUUUAUGGCUUACAGAUGGGCAUGCGCAUGAUUAGCUAGUUGGAGAGGUAACGGCUCCCCAAGGCAACGAUCAUUAGGGUUCUGAGAGGAAGGUCCCCCACACUGGUACUGAGACACGGACCAGACUCCUACGGGAGGCAGCAGUGAGGAAUAUUGGUCAAUGGACGAGAGUCUGAACCAGCCAAGUCGCGUGCAGGAAGAAUGUUCCCUAUGGAUUGUAAACUGCUUUUGCAGGGGAAUAAAGUGCAUCACGUGUGAUGUUUUGUAUGUACUCUGCGAAUAAGGAUCGGCUAACUCCGUGCCAGCCGCUGC
Molecule: ribosomal RNA, 495 nt
Filed under: uncultured bacterium
Lineage: Bacteria
Description: bacterial SSU rRNA
Rfam family: Bacterial small subunit ribosomal RNA
Source: RNAcentral